CCUACGGGGGACAGCAGUGAGGAAUAUUGGUCAAUGGGCGAGAGCCUGAACCAGUCAAGUCGCGUGAAGGAUGAAGGAUCUAUGGUUUGUAAACUUCUUUUAUAUGGGAAUAAAGUGAGGAACGUGUUCCUUUUUGUAUGUACCAUAUGAAUACGCAUCGGCUAACUCCGUGCCAGCAGCCGCGGUAAUACGGAGGAUGCGAGCGUUAUCCGGAUUUAUUGGGUUUAAAGGGUGCGUAGGUGGUGAAUUAAGUCAGCGGUGAAAGUUUGUGGCUCAACCAUAAAAUUGCCGUUGAAACUGGUUGACUUGAGUAUAUGUGAGGUAGGCGGAAUGCGUGGUGUAGCGGUGAAAUGCAUAGAUAUCACGCAGAACUCCGAUUGCGAAGGCAGCUUACUAAACUAUAACUGACAUUGAUGCUCGAAAGUGUGGGUAUCAAACAGGAUUAGAUACCCGAGUAGUC
This 460-nucleotide ribosomal RNA is filed under the name uncultured bacterium. RNAcentral's name for it is "partial 16S ribosomal RNA". It matches the Rfam family "Bacterial small subunit ribosomal RNA", at positions 338 to 795 of the family's 1533-position model. The record is from RNAcentral.